AGUGAACGCUGGCGGUAGGCCUAACACAUGCAAGUCGAGCGGCAGCACAGUAAGAGCUUGCUCUUACGGGUGGCGAGUGGCGGACGGGUGAGGAAUACAUCGGAAUCUACUUUUUCGUGGGGGAUAACGUAGGGAAACUUACGCUAAUACCGCAUACGACCUACGGGUGAAAGCAGGGGAUCUUCGGACCUUGCGCGAUUGAAUGAGCCGAUGUCGGAUUAGCUAGUUGGCGGAGUAAAGGCCCACCAAGGCGACGAUCCGUAGCUGGUCUGAGAGGAUGAUCAGCCACACUGGAACUGAGACACGGUCCAGACUCCUACGGGAGGCAGCAGUGGGGAAUAUUGGACAAUGGGCGCAAGCCUGAUCCAGCCAUACCGCGUGGGUGAAGAAGGCCUUCGGGUUGUAAAGCCCUUUUGUUGGGAAAGAAAAGCAGCAGGUUAAUACCCCGCUGUUCUGACGGUACCCAAAGAAUAAGCACCGGCUAACUUCGUG
Molecule: ribosomal RNA, 492 nt
Filed under: uncultured bacterium
Lineage: Bacteria
Description: partial 16S ribosomal RNA
Rfam family: Bacterial small subunit ribosomal RNA
Source: RNAcentral